GGAACAAGACGGAAGAGAGUCACUCUUACCGUCGCGCAUACCUUAAAGCGGGUCUGCCGCCUUCGUUUCUCUUUCUUCGCGAAUGACUUUGACUUGCGCUCGCGCGCCGCAUCGCAGCCCCUGUUGAUUACGAUGGGCGGCUGCUGGCGCUCCGCGAGGGCGCGGCACAAGCCGCGACGGCCCUCUCUUUUAGCCAAGGGUGGCGGCCUUGCGAGGCUUGCGUCUCGUUGGCGAAAGCCGAUUUAAGGCGCAGUCUUAGGGCUUGUAGCUCAGUUGGUUAGAGCGCGCGCUUGAUAAGCGUGAGGUCGGAGGUUCAAGUCCUCCCAGGCCCACCACUUCGCAAUCCGCAAGGAUUGUCGGAUCUCCUCGAUAUCCGUCGGGAAACACUAUCAGGGGCCGUAGCUCAGCUGGGAGAGCGCCUGCUUUGCAAGCAGGAUGUCGUCGGUUCGAUCCCGUCCGGCUCCACCAACAUCUUCUGUGAAGGUGGGGCGUGUCGAGUAGAGGAUGAUCGCCCGCGGUCAGUCAUUCGAAAAAGAGUUUGCGGCGCGCUUCGUGCUCUCCGCCUGUUCUGUUUGACAUCGUAAAGAGAAGAUUUGUUCGAACUUCACGGCUGCAAGGCUGUGAUUUGUCGCAAGGACGCUCAAUCCCUUGCCUAUGAUGGGUUUGCCUAACCGCGCCCUCGAACGGAUCUCGAGAAGCUGGUCUUUUUGUGCCAAUUCCAUUGAAGCAAGCCCCGCACAGGGUUUUGCUCAGGCGGCGAUCCUUCGGAUCGCGCAGAUGGGUAUUGGCAAUGAGAACGAUCAAGUGUCUUAAGGGCAAUUGGUGGAUGCCUNGGCAUGCACAGGCGAUGAAGGACGUGAUACGCUGCGAUAAGCUACGGGGAGGUGCGAAUAC
This 894-nucleotide unclassified non-coding RNA is filed under the name Mesorhizobium plurifarium. RNAcentral's name for it is "partial 16S-23S ribosomal RNA intergenic spacer". The stretch from base 259 to 332 matches the Rfam family "tRNA". The record is from RNAcentral. Lineage: Bacteria; Pseudomonadati; Pseudomonadota; Alphaproteobacteria; Hyphomicrobiales; Phyllobacteriaceae.